GCGACAGCUUGGAAUUGGCAACGCUGCGCUGCUUUCGGUAAUUGCAAGCACAGCUUUCCAUGCAUUUCGAUAAGCGAGCCUGGAAAGCUGCCGUGCACGUCGGCCUAUGCAAGCACGCCUCCUUCCAAGGCUCGCAAGCAACUCUGUGGAGCUGCAGGCGCAGCCAAGUUCACGUUUUUUUCUUCUGCUGCUGUUGUUCCAGUGAUCUUUGCAAAGUGUUUGAAUAAGUUUAAGAAAUGUGCGUGUUAAAUGUGUUAACUAAACCAAGUCUAGCAUGCAGCUCAUGCAAAAAGUGUGCAUGGAGAAAGAGGUACACUUUUGUCGGUACUUCCCCCAUGCACCGUUGCUGCACUGUUGCCCGGUGGUGUGUGGAAAUUAGUCCCAGUUACCCUCUUACUGAUAGAUGUUAAUUAAAUAACCAUAUGAA
Drosophila virilis is the source of this 427-nucleotide long non-coding RNA. RefSeq lists it as uncharacterized. The record is from RefSeq and is a predicted model, not a curated record. NCBI's taxonomy places the organism in Eukaryota, Metazoa, Arthropoda, Insecta, Diptera, Drosophilidae.